RNAcentral lists this unclassified non-coding RNA (403 nucleotides) under soil metagenome. Its description in RNAcentral is "partial contains 5.8S ribosomal RNA, internal transcribed spacer 2, and large subunit ribosomal RNA". The stretch from base 1 to 122 matches the Rfam family "5.8S ribosomal RNA", at positions 35 to 154 of the family's 154-position model. The record is from RNAcentral.
GAUGAAGAACGCAGCGAAUUGCGAUAAGUAAUGUGAAUUGCAGAUUUUCAGUGAAUCAUCGAAUCUUUGAACGCACCUUGCGCCCUUUGGCUAUUCUGAAGGGCAUGCCUGUUUGAGUAUCGUGAACACCUCAACUCUCAUGGUCUGCCAUGAUGAGCUUGGACUUUGGGGGUCUUGCUGGCCUACUGUCAGCUCCUCUCAAAUGAAUCAGCUUACCAGUGUUUGGUGGCACCACAGGUGUGAUAACUAUCUACGCUUGUGGUUUUCUGCCAGGUAACCUCCAGUGAUGGAGGUUCGCUGGAGCUCACAAAUGUCUCUCCUCAGCGAGGACAGCUUUUUGAACGUUUGAUCUCAAAUCAGGUAGGACUACCCGCUGAACUUAAGCAUAUCAAUAAGCGGAGGA